Molecule: long non-coding RNA, 1544 nt
Organism: Rosa rugosa (rugosa rose)
Lineage: Eukaryota; Viridiplantae; Streptophyta; Magnoliopsida; Rosales; Rosaceae
Exons: 3
Source: RefSeq, a predicted model, not a curated record
ACUCUUGUUCUCUCAAACCCAGUCAUUUGACCUCUGUCUCAGCCCCCUACUCCCCUUGAGACAAAACUGAAAACCCAGGGACCAGGCCUCAACGCACUCUGAUCUCUGUCCAAAUUUCCGAUCUCGAACUCCCACCCUAGGCUCACCUCCCCAUCGUCUCCUCCUCACCGCGCUAACGGCUAUCUUCUCACGCGUAUCCGCUAAGGCCAAGCCGGCUUCUACCCAUGUUUGCAGAGCAAGCCAGCCAUAGUCGCCAAAGCACCACGGUCGAAGCUCCAAUCCCCGAUCGAUAUCAACGCUCCUCCGCCGCUACUCCCCGCGUUGUGGAGAAGGAAGAAGACGAAUUUCCCAAUGGAAUGUUCCUUAUAUAAAAACCCCUCACUCACGCUCUCCUCUAUGACUCUCUCUCUUUGAGUGUGCUAAAUGUGCUCGUUGGCUGCCAGAUGAUAAUGGCUAUCCAAAAGCUAGCCAUAUAUCAGCUGAAAAGCUAUCUAACAAUAGCCGAGCCCUGCAGUUCAUUAAUUUGAUCCAAGAAGCCAAGAUACGAAGCAAAAAUCUUGUUAAGUUUGUGGAAUCUCAUAAUCAGCUUGAGUACCGGAUGGAGUGGGCUGGGUUUUUAAUUUCAAUUGCAAAAAUCUGCAGAUCUUGGCUGUUGCUAAGGUAGGAAGUGUUCAAUUUUCCAAAUAUGCAACCUAUUCUAUGUUUCAAUAAUUCCUACCUCCAGCUUAUGACUUUAUGUUUCUCUUAUUGGAUUCUUGUUCUUUGACCUAUCAUUUUGUUACAUACGUGGUCAAUGAAAAAGAUCACCGUCAGUUCUAACCCUUUUCCAGAAGGUAAUUGCUUUUGCUUAGCUCAUCAUUUAUUUUUACAGAUCUGUUAGUAUUAGUCGAGUCCAAUAUGUGCAUAUGAGGUACUUAUUGCUCAUGAAGUCAUGUUUUUUUUUUUUCAUUGUGUAAUGAGAAUUUGAGGCCUAUUGAUUUCUUGUCUUUUAAACUAUCACAUUUUGUAGGUUUAUUUAUCGAUUCUGAAAAAUUUUAUGUUUGCGUUCUGUUAAUUUAGAGGGAUUAGAAGUCAAACUGUUAUCACAAGGAAGGGCAUUAGGUGUCAUGUACAUAUAGGGAUACUCUGUAUGUGCUGAUACUUUGAGCCAUCCAGAUUGUUGUGUCACAAAUACCAUAUUUCCAUAACAUGCAUGUAAUGGCUUUCAGUUAUUGCAGCAAUCAUGUCCUUUGCCAAAGUAAUAGAUUUGGUCAACAAUCUUGGUACCAUUGCAAGGUCUGGCACCAAGAAAUUCAUGGAAACCUUGGCUACUAGAUCUGAUGUUAGCAUGAUUGGUCAGUUUGGUGUUGGAUUCUACUUUGCAUAUCAUGUUGUUGAGAAGGAAGAGGAAGUUGAUGAAGAGAAGGAAGUGGGCAUGUUUCUGGCCUUGAUUUUUUUGACAUUUAUGUUUAGGCAGGGUUAGUAUGUUCAUGUUAAUGUUGGGAUAUGAAUACUGCUGAUGGAAUUUGUAUGUUUUGGAAUCAAUGGAAAGUUUUUGGAAUCAA